GGGCUCGGUCUCUGCAGCCUUUGUCACUUGCCCCAACGAGAAGGUCGCCAAGGAGAUCGCCAGGGCCGUGGUGGAGAAGCGCCUAGCAGCCUGCGUCAACCUCAUCCCUCAGAUUACAUCCAUGUGAGUCAUAGGAGUUGGGGGGUUAACCUAACUGUAGGAGCUGACUGGGAACCUCUUUCCUGGGGGAAAUUCUUUGCUCCCCACAACUCUCCGCCUCUGACCUUUCAGCUAUGAGUGGAAAGGGAAGAUCGAGGAAGACAGUGAGGUGCUGAUGAUGAUUAAAACCCAAAGUUCCUUGGUCCCAGCUUUGACAGAUUUUGUUCGUUCUGUGCACCCUUACGAAGUGGCCGAGGUAAUCGCAUUGCCUGUGGAACAGGGGAACUUUCCGUACCUGCAGUGGGUGCGCCAGGUCACAGAGUCAGUUUCUGACUCUAGCACAGUCCUGCCAUGAUGAACCCUGUUCCUGCCGUGAUCCCCUCAAUACUUCGCCUUCUGACUUCCAGGUGAUGACUGGGCCCCCAAUAAAUCCUGUCUUUGGGUCUCUCUGCC
RNAcentral lists this small RNA (552 nucleotides) under Pongo abelii (Sumatran orangutan). RNAcentral describes it as "retained intron". Lineage: Eukaryota; Metazoa; Chordata; Mammalia; Primates; Hominidae. The record is from RNAcentral.